GCCUACGGGGCGCAGCAGUGAGGAAUAUUGGUCAAUGGGCGCGAGCCUGAACCAGCCAAGUAGCGUGAAGGAUGACUGCCCUACGGGUUGUAAACUUCUUUUAUAAAGGAAUAAAGUGAGGCACGUGUGCCUUUUUGUAUGUACUUUAUGAAUAAGGAUCGGCUAACUCCGUGCCAGCAGCCGCGGUAAUACGGAGGAUCCGAGCGUUAUCCGGAUUUAUUGGGUUUAAAGGGUGCGCAGGCGGCGAGUUAAGUCAGCGGUAAAAUUUCGGGGCUCAACCCCGACGAGCCGUUGAAACUGGCUUG
This 305-nucleotide ribosomal RNA is filed under the name uncultured bacterium. Its description in RNAcentral is "bacterial SSU rRNA". It matches the Rfam family "Bacterial small subunit ribosomal RNA", at positions 337 to 640 of the family's 1533-position model. The record is from RNAcentral.